RNAcentral lists this long non-coding RNA (450 nucleotides) under Papio anubis (olive baboon). Its description in RNAcentral is "lncRNA (ENSPANG00000050434.1)". Lineage: Eukaryota; Metazoa; Chordata; Mammalia; Primates; Cercopithecidae. The record is from RNAcentral.
AUGCAGUGUUCCAGGUCUGGGAAAAUGCCUGCAGCUAUUCCUGGUGUCUUUCCUUCAAAGCAUCUCCAAGCCUGUCCACAAGUUAGCUCCAGGGCUUGGGAGAAACUAAGUGCUCUCCCUCAGCCUGGGCUGCUCAGAUCCUCAGUGGAAAGGAUCUACAGUGGCUACAAUAACCAAGUGCUACAAAAAUGCUGUGACAAGGAAUCUGAACAACAGAGAUUUGAGGGAAACAAAGCACUUUCGACGAAGGUCCUGCUGCUUGUCUUCAGCUCGGUACCAAUUAGAGCUUCACUGGAGGUGAAAAAUGGAAUCUCGCUCUGUCUCCCGGGCUGGAGUGCAGCGGCGCAAUCUCAGCUCACUGCAAGCUCCGCCUCCCGGGUUUACGCCAUUCUCCUGCCUCAGCCUCUCGAGUACCUGGGACUUCAGGCGACCGCCACCACGCCCGGCUAA